CCUACGGGAGGCAGCAGUGAGGAAUAUUGGUCAAUGGGCGCGAGCCUGAACCAGCCAAGUCGCGUGAGGGAAGACGGCCCUACGGGUUGUAAACCUCUUUUGCCGGGGAGCAACGGGCGCCACGUGUGGCGCCACUGAGAGUACCCGGAGAAAAAGCAUCGGCUAACUCCGUGCCAGCAGCCGCGGUUAUACGGAGGAUGCGAGCGGUAUCCGGAUUUAUUGGGUUUAAAGUGUGCGUAGGCGGAGCGUAAAGUCAGUGGUCAAAAUGAGGGGAUCAACCCCGUACCGCAAUUGAAAAUGGCGCUCUUGAGUGGAAGAGAAGUAUGCGGAAUGCGUGGUGUAGCGGUGAAAUGCAGAGAUAUCACGCAGAACCCCGAUUGCGAAGGCAGAAUGCCGGCUUCCUACUGACGCUGAAGCACGAAAGCGUGGGGAGCGAACAGGAUUAGAUACCCUUGUAGUC
RNAcentral lists this ribosomal RNA (460 nucleotides) under uncultured bacterium. RNAcentral describes it as "partial 16S ribosomal RNA". It matches the Rfam family "Bacterial small subunit ribosomal RNA", at positions 338 to 795 of the family's 1533-position model. The record is from RNAcentral.